This 780-nucleotide ribosomal RNA is filed under the name uncultured bacterium. Its description in RNAcentral is "bacterial SSU rRNA". It matches the Rfam family "Bacterial small subunit ribosomal RNA", at positions 8 to 796 of the family's 1533-position model. The record is from RNAcentral.
AGAGUUUGAUCAUGGCUCAGGAUGAACGCUAGCGGCAGGCCUAAUACAUGCAAGUCGAACGGAUGUAGCAAUACAUUAGUGGCGCACGGGUGCGUAACGCGUAUGCAACCUACCCAUCAAUGGGGGAUAGCCCGGGGAAACCCGGAUUAAUACCGCAUAAGAUAGCAGUUUGGCAUCAAACAGCUAUUAAACAUUUAUGGUUGAUGGAUGGGCAUGCGUAAGAUUAGCUAGUUGGUGAGGUAAAGGCUCACCAAGGCAAUGAUCUUUAGGGGUUCUGAGAGGAAGAUCCCCCACACUGGUACUGAGACAGGGACCAGACUCCUACGGGAGGCAGCAGUAGGGAAUAUUGGGCAAUGGUGGCAACACUGACCCAGCCAUGCCGCGUGCAGGAAGAAGGCCUUCUGGGUUGUAAACUGCUUUUGGAAGGGAACAAAACGGCCUUGCGAGGCAACUUGAGUGUACCUUCAGAAUAAGCACCGGCUAACUCCGUGCCAGCAGCCGCGGUAAUACGGAGGGUGCAAGCGUUGUCCGGAUUUAUUGGGUUUAAAGGGUGCGUAGGCGGCCUGUUAAGUCAGGGGUGAAAGACUGCAGCUCAACUGUAGCAGUGCCUUUGAUACUGAUGGGCUUGAGUCUAGAUGAGGCCGGCGGAAUGGGUGGUGUAGCGGUGAAAUGCAUAGAUACCAUCCAGAACACCGAUUGCGAAGGCAGCCGGCUAAACUAGCACUGACGCUGAGGCACGAAGGCGUGGGGAUCGAACAGGAUUAGAUACCCUAGUAGUCC